UGGGGAAUCUUGCACAAUGGGGGCAACCCUGAUGCAGCGACGCCGCGUGAGCGAUGAAGCCCUUCGGGGCGUAAAGCUCUUUCGACCGGAACGAUAAUGACGGUACCGGGAGAAGAAGCUGCGGCUAACUACGUGCCAGCAGCCGCGGUAAUACGUAGGCAGCAAGCGUUGUUCGGAGUUACUGGGCGUAAAGAGUGCGUAGGCGGUUUUCUAAGUUCGGUGUGAAAUCACCCGGCUUAACUGGGAGGGUGCGCCGAAGACUGGGAAGCUGGAGUGUGGGAAAGGCAGGCGGAAUUCCUGGUGUAGCGGUGAAAUGCGUAGAUAUCAGGAGGAACACCGGCGGUGUAGACGGCUUGCUAGACCAUAACUGACGCUGAGGCACGAAAGCGUGGGUAGCAAACA
Molecule: ribosomal RNA, 402 nt
Filed under: uncultured bacterium
Lineage: Bacteria
Description: bacterial SSU rRNA
Rfam family: Bacterial small subunit ribosomal RNA
Source: RNAcentral